This 523-nucleotide ribosomal RNA is filed under the name Salmonella enterica subsp. enterica serovar Anatum. RNAcentral describes it as "partial 23S ribosomal RNA". It matches the Rfam family "Bacterial large subunit ribosomal RNA", at positions 2238 to 2760 of the family's 2925-position model. Lineage: Bacteria; Pseudomonadati; Pseudomonadota; Gammaproteobacteria; Enterobacterales; Enterobacteriaceae. The record is from RNAcentral.
AUCCGGGUUGCGGACAGUGUCUGGUGGGUAGUUUGACUGGGGCGGUCUCCUCCUAAAGAGUAACGGAGGAGCACGAAGGUUGGCUAAUCCUGGUCGGACAUCAGGAGGUUAGUGCAAUGGCAUAAGCCAGCUUGACUGCGAGCGUGACGGCGCGAGCAGGUGCGAAAGCAGGUCAUAGUGAUCCGGUGGUUCUGAAUGGAAGGGCCAUCGCUCAACGGAUAAAAGGUACUCCGGGGAUAACAGGCUGAUACCGCCCAAGAGUUCAUAUCGACGGCGGUGUUUGGCACCUCGAUGUCGGCUCAUCACAUCCUGGGGCUGAAGUAGGUCCCAAGGGUAUGGCUGUUCGCCAUUUAAAGUGGUACGCGAGCUGGGUUUAGAACGUCGUGAGACAGUUCGGUCCCUAUCUGCCGUGGGCGCUGGAGAACUGAGGGGGGCUGCUCCUAGUACGAGAGGACCGGAGUGGACGCAUCACUGGUGUUCGGGUUGUCAUGCCAAUGGCACUGCCCGGUAGCUAAAUGCGGAA